UGCUAUAAGAAUCUGCAAAAUCCUUUGUGGGGAUAUACUACUCGUCUUCUUCCUUAACCGACUAGAGAUCCAGCCAGCUCGCAGGACAUUUUUAAGCUGGUGAAAUAUUAAAAUGGAUGUCAGUGGAAGACAUUGCUGGCUUACAUAUGACCUUGAGCAAGACACAGCACUUCUCAGCCUGUAAUACCAGAUAACCUCCCAGGUCGGCCUCAGCUGUACACUUCUCUGAUGUCCUGAUAGUGCCCAGAACAGGAGAAAGUUGCAGGGCUUUGUCACAUAGAUCUGGGAUCGAAUACCACUCUACCACCCCUACUGGCCAGCUGGGCUACUCCAUCUCCAGGCUCCACAAGCUUCAUCGGCUGCCUGCCAGAAAGGAAUGGAAGAUGGCCUUUGGUCCAGGUUUAGUCUACACAGCUGAGAAGGAAUCUACAUCCCCGAACACCCUUCUGCCCCAAGUUUAUUCCAUGUCUGGCAGGAGACUAUGACUUUCAGGAACACGCAUCCUAAGAGCAGCCAGUGACUGACAACCACUGAAGCUACAAGAGGGGUGCGUGUGGAUUCAUUGUACAUUCUACUUUCAUGCAGCUUUGAAUUUUUCAAAAUACAAAGUGAAAGAAAAAUACAGGUACCUAGUCUUUGAUCUUCAGGGUCCGGCCCUCCUUAACUAGUUAGGGAUCUGGAAUAAGACUCAUGACCAAUGUUCUGGGAAGAAAAAAUCACUCACUGUAUUGUAUCCUAAGGCCCUCCUGUCCCUUACCCUAAAUGCUACAAUGCGUUAGGACAGUAUCUUGAAGUGCUGUGAUCUUCUACAACCACUAUCAAAGGAAA
Molecule: long non-coding RNA, 828 nt
Organism: Canis lupus familiaris (dog)
Lineage: Eukaryota; Metazoa; Chordata; Mammalia; Carnivora; Canidae
Exons: 3
Source: RefSeq, a predicted model, not a curated record